AAUAGAUACCCCGGUAGUCCACGCCGUAAACGAUGAAUGCUAGGUGUUAGGGGUUUCGAUACCCUUGGUGCCGAAGUUAACACAUUAAGCAUUCCGCCUGGGGAGUACGGUCGCAAGACUGAAACUCAAAGGAAUUGACGGGGACCCGCACAAGCAGUGGAGUAUGUGGUUUAAUUCGAAGCAACGCGAAGAACCUUACCAGGUCUUGACAUCCCUCUGACCGGUCUAGAGAUAGGCCUUUCCUUCGGGACAGAGGAGACAGGUGGUGCAUGGUUGUCGUCAGCUCGUGUCGUGAGAUGUUGGGUUAAGUCCCGCAACGAGCGCAACCCUUGAUCUUAGUUGCCAGCACUUUGGGUGGGCACUCUAGGAUGACUGCCGGUGACAAACCGGAGGAAGGUGGGGAUGACGUCAAAUCAUCAUGCCCCUUAUGACCUGGGCUACACACGUACUACAAUGGCCGAUACAACGGGAAGCGAAGUCGCGAGGCGGAGCCAAUCCUAUCAAAGUCGGUCUCAGUUCGGAUUGCAGG
Molecule: ribosomal RNA, 529 nt
Filed under: uncultured bacterium
Lineage: Bacteria
Description: bacterial SSU rRNA
Rfam family: Bacterial small subunit ribosomal RNA
Source: RNAcentral